CUUUUAUCCAAAGACUGUAAAGCUGUUUACAAAAAAAUGCUGAAAAAUCUAGGCCUCAAAGCAUCACUUCUUCAUCUACAAAAUAAAGGGAUGCUUUUCCAUUUGGAAAGUAUUUUAUGUAUUUGUAAAAUUAUUGAAAAAAGUGAGCAAUGUCUCAAUGCCUUUUGCCUCCACAAAGUUUUUGUGACCCUAAAGAAAAUGCUUGCAGAGUGGCUACUAUCUUAUGAAGAUUUAGCAGAUAGUCAUAUUCUGCGAUAUAAUGUUGUCCCCUCAGUGCUGUGAUGCCCUAAUUAUGUAGAGAGCUGUUGUGUCCACAGCCAGAUAUGUCCACAGAAAAAGGCUUUAAGCUUGACUGUAAAAAAUUUAACUUGUGAUCCUAUGUGUUACACGCAGUACCAGGCCUGAUUUUAUGAGACGUCUCCAGGCUAGACGAGCCUUUGCUGUGGUGAACUAACUAACCCCUUUGGGCAUGGAGAAGACAAAACGGUACUUCUAGCUCCAGCUUGCAAGCAGAUGUAUUAUGAGUCUUUACUGAACCAAAAAUUGAGCUACUGAUUCUAAACACCUGGGACAGAGUGCCUGGGAACUGAGAAUGCAAUGUAUCGAAUGGCUGAGCCACCUCUUCUUGAGAAGGCCCUCCAGGAGUCAGCUAACAGGCUCAGUAAUCCUUCUCCACUCUCAGAACUAUGGAGGAGCGAGGUGGAGCCUUGUACUUCUGAGAAAGGAUAUAAAGCUGCUGGCAUUUGCCCACCAUAAGGAACAAGGACCUGCUCACAGAAAAAAAAAAAAAAGAAGAAAAAAAAAAAAUCAAAAUGAAGAAUCUCAGAGGAGCCCCCCCGAGAGCUGAAAACUGACUUUCCCUGAUGUGGAAAAAAACAAAAAGUAGUUUACACCAUUUCAACAGAUCCCGAUUGCUCCAAGGUAAGCCUUGUUUAUUGAUAAUGUAAGUAGCUUAGUGUGUCUGCCACUGUGAAAUUCAAAGAGAAAGGGAAGUUUUAAAAGUAACAUGCCUGCCUAGAAAGUGUACUGUGACAUGUAGGGAGCUUGACUUCAGUCUGAUACAUUUUCAUGCUUUCCCUGCAAAUCGAAGCGCGUGGUCAUUAACGCAGUAAAUCACAGUAAUGUGUUAUGAUCUGAUCUGGCAUUUAUAAGGAAAUAGGGUGUCUAGCCCUGGCUGCCUCUCCUACAGGUCAUUUGUCCUAGUGGUAAAGAGAGUGGUUGUUCCCAAGGGAAGAGAAAGCUGCCCAUUAUGUCAGCUCACACCCUGGAAAAGGCUACUGAUUUCAGUGCAUCUGUUUGUGAUGUGCCCUCUAAACGGGGUCAGUGUUAUAACGGGUAGGAGAGAGCAGUUUCAGCCAUGAGUGAGCACUCAGAUAAAUGGUGUAACUAACUCUGUCAGAGAUGAAUAUAAAACGUACACAAGAUGGCUUCUUUUGUAUUUGCUUUUAAAAAAAGGAAACAGACGUAUAUAAUGAUAUUUUUUUUCAGUCAUUGAUUUAUAUGCCACACAGAUGAGAAGCAAUAUUCCUAUGAUGCCUUUAUCAGUAUUCUGAGAAGGACUGCUUUCAGGUUAAAGACUGAUAAGCAAUGCCAACUAUUGACAUUAUUGGAACAGCCCUAUCAGCUUUAAUUUUCUUUUGUUUUCCUGUUGCCAAGGAAAGGCGUUAGAGAGGAAAUUAUGAUCUCAAAUUGGUUAAUCGAGUGACGUGCACUUUUUUCCAUAAAUUGCCAUGCCUGAUCUUUAAAGCAGUAUACAAUCUCAUUGCCAAGCAAGCAAUGUACAGAAUGUAGCAGAAUUUACAAAUAUCAUGUGUCAUCAGUCUUUAGGCCAGUAAUUCUCAAACCAAGGUGAGCUGUCCACAGUGUCACAUUACGGAGUUAAAUGCACAAACUCGUUUGUCUUGUUUGCCUGUACUUUUGUAUGCACAGUUUUCUGAGCAUGCUAGAGACCGCUAGAGUGUGCUCAAUUAUAAGCCUGGUAGGAAGCUACACACACACAGUGGAGCACGGGGAGUGCUCAGGGUUGCUGGAAGUUUAUUCUUUCCAGUAAAUUAGGGAGCUUGUGCUCUUGUCAUCGUAGAUCAAAGUUAAUUGACCUCAUACCAUUAGCAUCAGCAUAGUUAAGGCAUGGAGUUUACGCAAAGAGCUGGAGAAUUUAAAACCGUAAAGUUUCAUUUUUACUAGUCUGUCUGUGCACAUAAAUUUUGGCUUUGCAUGAGUAGUGUUUGUGCAGGCUCAGAAGAUUUUAUGCAAAAAUUAGUUGUGCA
Long non-coding RNA from Meleagris gallopavo (turkey), 2267 nucleotides. The record is from Ensembl. NCBI's taxonomy places the organism in Eukaryota, Metazoa, Chordata, Aves, Galliformes, Phasianidae.